RNAcentral lists this long non-coding RNA (440 nucleotides) under Daucus carota (carrot). RNAcentral's name for it is "long non-coding RNA (DCAR_LNC002981)". Lineage: Eukaryota; Viridiplantae; Streptophyta; Magnoliopsida; Apiales; Apiaceae. The record is from RNAcentral.
UCCAACACAGCAUCCCUUGAUCAGCAGAUAGUCAUCCUUCACCUCACCAUAAUGAGGGAAGCCACCCAUAGGAGUAAUAUCUUUUUCAGUCCUGUUAGAGAUGAUAUACAAAUAUUACACACAUGAACAGGUUGCAACAUAUUUAAUAUUUUAGUGAUUUACAGAUAAAAAAAUAAAAACUAAAAUUUUGUAAUAACCUCUAUAAAUAUGCACAUUUCUUAUUCAAAGAAUUUAACAUUUCUCGACUCACUUAAAUACUUAAAGGCAUACCAAGACUCUGCUUCAGAGAGAGGAAAAAAAUAUUCGAAGUCCCUAACCUGUCAAACUCAGUAAUGGCAGUGUGGUUCUCCUGUCCAGUCUUUCCAAGCUUGUAAAUCUUCUUGUUCAUUUCUGUUCUGUGGUGAUAACCAUUCUGACCAGCCCUAGCAACAGUGUAUGAA